GGAAAAAAGAGAAGAGGGCCAUUUUCUGAUCAAUUCACAUGAUGGAAGAAGUGGUUCAAAAGCAAUGCUCUACUCAACCACUUCCUCCAUCAUUACAAACACAAGGAAUUUAGAGGUACACAAAAUUUUGUUCUUUUGUAUUUGGGGAGUUUGGUAAAAAGGGCUUUUCAUUUCAUUAGAGAGAGAGAGAGAGAGGGAGAGAGAAGGGUAAAAAGGACUUUUCACUUCAUUCCUUUUUUUUGAAGAUUAGAAGUAGCAGAUGAAGUUUUACAUCAAUACCAUCAAUGACUAUUUCACUAACCUAACCAUGAAAUGACAACAAACUAAGUGAGUGAAAUCCAAAAG
Molecule: long non-coding RNA, 345 nt
Organism: Cucurbita moschata (crookneck pumpkin)
Lineage: Eukaryota; Viridiplantae; Streptophyta; Magnoliopsida; Cucurbitales; Cucurbitaceae
Exons: 2
Source: RefSeq, a predicted model, not a curated record